GACGAACGCUGGCGGCGUGCUUAACACAUGCAAGUCGAACGAUGAACCCGGAGCUUGCUCCGGCGGAUUAGUGGCGAACGGGUGAGUAACACGUGAGUAACCUGCCCUUGACUCUGGGAUAACUGCGGGAAACUGUAGCUAAUACCGGAUACGACCCUCGGCGGCAUCGCCAGGGGGUGGAAAGAAUUUCGGUCAAGGAUGGACUCGCGGCCUAUCAGCUAGUUGGUGAGGUAACGGCUCACCAAGGCGACGACGGGUAGCCGGCCUGAGAGGGUGACCGGCCACGCUGGGACUGAGACACGGCCCAGACUCCUACGGGAGGCAGCAGUGGGGAAUAUUGCACAAUGGGCGCAAGCCUGAUGCAGCAACACCGCGUGAGGGAUGACGGCCUUCGGGUUGUAAACCUCUUUUAGUAGGGGAGAAGCGAAAGUGACGGUACCUGCAGAAAAAGCACCGGCUAACUACGUGCCAGCCGCCGCAGUAA
Molecule: ribosomal RNA, 484 nt
Filed under: uncultured bacterium
Lineage: Bacteria
Description: partial 16S ribosomal RNA
Rfam family: Bacterial small subunit ribosomal RNA
Source: RNAcentral